AGACUCGUCCCUAACCCCAGCCCGGAGACUUUCACUUUGUCCCAUGCCUCCCGAGCACCCCUCCCCGCCCCGGUGGGGGCAGCUCCUGGCUCCGAGCCCCCACCUCGGGGCUCCCAGCCUGGUCCCGGGCGGCCGACCCCAGCAGCCACAGGCAUCCUACGCUGUGUGCACACAGCAUAUCACCGGGAGAGACGGCACGGAAAGAUGGCCCUGCCCUCAAGGAGCUGCAGUCUGCCCAGGAAGGCAGACAGAUAAACUGCUAUAGUUUUCCACUAUUGAGCUGAAUUUCGUAUCACCAUCAAAAGUUACCUACCUACAAGUCCCUAGUAGAGAAAAUUUAACUUCUGGCUUUAAAAAAGGGACAGAAAAGCAGGCAGAUCUGCUAGUAAGCAAACUACAGCUCCCCCGAGGAGACACACAGGCAGUGGGUAAGAGGAACAGACCCAUGGCUCCACUGAAGACACAGAGCAGCAGACGAAAAAGACAUGUCCUAAAUGUUAAAUGGUAAGGAGGGGUAGGGUGAAAAAAGGGAACAUGGAUGCCAGGCAGAAGAAAUAAAAGCCUUUCCAAACAUUUGUAUUACAUGAUGCUGGCUCUCACUGAUAAACCACUGGAUGAGAACUGUACUUCAUCCAUAUCAUCCUGUUGGUUGCAGAUCCCGUCACCCCAUAUCUAAAACAUAUUUCCUUCUGGAGCUUUACUGUUGAUACUGCUUUGAGAUGUAUCAUUUGGUUUUGGUUUUACAUAUUUAACAUUUUAAUGAAAGGGUGACUUGAGUAAGGCACUACUUUUUCAAUAAAUAGCAACAGAACCAAUUUGCCUGGGAGGAGACCUGCCAGCAAGCCAUGAGGGGCAUUUCCAAAAUUUCCAGUAUAGGCUGCUCCCAAUUUCUGCCUCCACUUUAAAAACACUUUGCACUUACUAGUGUUAUUCCAGGAGAGCCAGUUAAUAGUUUAAUGAAACUAGUUAGAGUUUAAAGGCAGCAAAUGGGAUAAUUUAAAAUAAUCAUCCCAUUUUUAUUGAUGGUUCUCAAAUCUCUCUCCAGAUCUGACAUUUUGCCCUAGCUCAGACUUGUACCUACACUUUCUAUUCAGACUAACGUCCUCCAUAGUUUUAGGACAUCACCAUCCCAACUUGGGCACUGACAGCCCACAGGCCACAUCCUCCUCAAGUAGCAACUCAUGAACCCAGAGAACUGACUGAAAUAGUUCAGUGUUUCUUGAGCUCCCCAAGGCCUUCAGGCUUCUGUGCAGAGUGGAAGUGGUAGUGGUAGUGGCACAAGUAUGCUAAUUGCCACAGUACACUCUCCAAGGUAAGUGUAACCGGGCCCAUUCUACAGAUAAACUAAAGGUUAGGUAAAUUAAAUCUCCUGGCCCAUCCACAUCUAAUCAUCAUCAGGGCCAGGAUUCAAGUCCAGUUCUAACAACAAAAGCCAUGCCAAUGGUAACAGAGUGCGUGUGAGCUGCUAAGUACUUCUGUGUAUUAACUCAUGCCAUUAAAGUCCGUAGAUGCCAUAGGGUGACCCAGAGCCACACUGGGUAGGCCCCUCCAGGCAUUCCUUUGUCUUCCAAAUACCAACUGAGGUGCAGGCUUAUUACCCUUACGUUACUACUGGCACAAGUAAAACUUCUUCCUGCAUAUACCUUAAGACGGGGGUCUCCAGUCCCCAGGGUACAAACCACUACCAGCCUGUUAGGAACUGGGCCACAAAGCAGGAAGUGAGCGGCAGGCAAGUGAGCAAAGCUUCAUCUGUAUUUACAGAUGCUCCCCCUGGCUUGCAUUACCGCCUGAGCUCUACCUCCUGUCACAUCAGCAGCGGCAUUAGAUUUUCAUAGGACCACGAAUCCUAUUGUGAACUGCGCAUGUGAGGGAUCUGGGUUGCGUGCUUCUUUUGAGAAUCUAAUGUCUGAUGAUCUGUCACUGUUUUCCAUCACCCUCAGGUGGGACUGUCCAGUUGCAGGAAAACAAGCUCAGGGCUCCUACUGAUUCUACAUUAUAGGGAGUUGUAUAAUUAAUUCAUUACAUAUUACAAUGUAAUAAUAAUAGAAAUAAAGUGCACAAUAAAUGUAAUGCGCUUGAAUCAUCCUGAAACCAUCCUUCCCCUCAGCCCAUGGAAAAGCUGUCUUCCACAAAGCUGGUCCCUGGUUCCAAAAAGGUUGGGGACCUCUGCUGUAUACCACUGUAGUCUUAUAAACACUGUUUACUUAAUUAACCUAAACAUUUAAAAUGUUUCCUUUCUUCAAUAAUAAAUUAACCUUAGCUUACUGUAACUUUUUUCACUUUAUAAAGUUUAAAAUUAACCUCAUGGGCCUAGCACCUCAAAUCUCCCCCGCUUCUCUCUCCCCAAGCCAGCUUGCCCUCUCUUAGCUCCCUGUGGCCCUAUUUCUGUCAGCUGCAGCAGAGUUCUAGAAGAAGUGCCUGGCGUGCUCUCUGUCCAUUCCCACUCCUUCCAUCAGUCACCAUGCCCUCUAGAUUCAUUCUUCACUUCAUGGAGUUUCCUGUUCGGCAUGCUCCUCGGUUUUUGCAAGGGCUCUGCCAACUACAGGGCCACGUCAUGCCAGUGACUGCACUGGUCUCCUCCCUGGCCUCAGUGUGUCUCCACACCCCUCCCCCCAACAUUCCAGUUCUGGGCAUUCUGUAUAUUAAUGUGUUCUCUUAUUUGAAGACCUGUGACAAUUCCUAGUACGUCCAAACUAUCGGUCUGCUAGUUAGUUAACAGCCUCCACAAUUGGGUUCCCAAUCACCUACACCACCAUGUAGUGAAGUUAGUUACUGCAGUACCCCAUCCUGAUUCCUUUCCCUGGGUUUUUACCAAUGCCUUUCUCUCUUACCCAAUCUAGAAUGUCCCCUCUUCACUUCUGCUUAUUCAAACACAUCAACUCAACUAACAUUCAUUGAGCCCUCAUUCUAGUGAACACACUGUGCAAAGAGCACAGCACGAGGCACUGAGUGAACAAGGAGCACAGCACGAGGCACUGAGUGAACAAGGAGCACAGCACGAGGCACUGUGCGAAGCAUGUUCCAGUUUCAACUCUAUCCCUACACAGAGUCCGCUCUGCUCUCUCUCCCUUCUCUGAAAAACAACAAUUCCUGUUUAUGACUAGAAUUAAUAAGCACUUCUGCCAUUAAAAGGUCUAUAGAUCUUCCACCAAAUUGUGGAUUCCUUUCCAGCAAGAGGUGGGUCUCUCUGUUCUCUCCUCCUGAGCCUGGGUAGACCUUUGUAACUGUCUUGACCAACAGAAUGUGACAGAAUGAUACCAGGUGACUUCUAAGACUACAUCAUACAAAGCAACACAGCUUCUGCUGGGCUCUCCCUCUCUGGACACGUGUCUUUGAAGCCCUGAGCUGCCAGAUUAAACAGUCCGGCUUGCCUAAAGUCACCACGCUGGAGAGACCAUCAGGGAUGGAGAGGUGCUACAGAAACCCUAGCUAUUCUAGUCCCCAGCCAUUUGAGUCUUCCUAGCCCAGACUCAUAAGUGAAGAAACCUUCAAGAUGAUUCCAAUACCUCCUAUCACUUGACUGCAACCUCGUGAAAGCCUAAGCCAGACCUGCACGGUGGAGCCAUUCCUAAAUUCUGGUCCCACAGAAACUGUGAAAGAUAAUAAAUGAUCAUCAUUG
RNAcentral lists this long non-coding RNA (3619 nucleotides) under Homo sapiens (human). RNAcentral describes it as "non-protein coding lnc-SLC45A1-1:6". The record is from RNAcentral. Lineage: Eukaryota; Metazoa; Chordata; Mammalia; Primates; Hominidae.